RNAcentral lists this long non-coding RNA (1231 nucleotides) under Homo sapiens (human). RNAcentral describes it as "non-protein coding lnc-KCNA1-97:24". The record is from RNAcentral. Lineage: Eukaryota; Metazoa; Chordata; Mammalia; Primates; Hominidae.
CUUCUCCCCUUCUUUCCUGUGCGAACAGGCAUCUUCCUGGAGACAGGAAGGUAGGCACUGUGGAAUCAGCGGUGCGUAGAACAGUGAGGAUUUGGGGCUGAACCCAGCCCAGGUGGGCCAAGCCGUGGCACCAGCCGGACUGCAGUCUGAUGGAACUUCCCCUUCCUGCCCAGCAGAUGGCGAGCGUGUGCUGCUGGUGCCUCUUUCCAAAGGACGUUGAAUUGCUUGACAGGUGUUCUUUACUUUAUGAAUGAAGCCAGAGCAGCCCACCUUCCUGCAUCUCUACCACCAUGGCACCAUGCCCUGUGAUGGGUGGGCUGGAGUCAAAUAUGUAGCAGGCAGCCAGGGUCAGUUUGUGGCCACUGCUGCCCCCUCUUCCUACAGUCUCCUCACUGAGUGCCCCUUCCCUGUUGGGUUCAACACAUCUGUGCUCCUGUAAGCCCUCAGCCUCCUCGUUCUCUUCCUCAACUUCUACCACCAGACACAUCUGAGAAGCAAGCAAGAGAGGCUGAACUAGGAGCAGGACCCAGGGACUGAAACCAGCACAGCAUCCCCACAGAGAAUUGGGUGGAAGGCAGCAUGGCUUCCAGCUUACUGGUGCUGAGCAGAUUGCUCUGGGUCUCCAUUGUAUCCUCUGAAGGAAGGAGGAGGAUUGCCUUCUGUCCAGAUCUCAGGAUCAAACAAAUAGGUCCAAUUUCCUGUGCUCACUUCAGUUAGAGCACUUCUCAUGUGACUUUGUAGCUUUGUGUGCAUCUCCUUCCUCUACUAGACCUAAGCCCCUCACGGGAGGGACUCUCUUAUUCUUGAUGUUCCCCACACCUGGAAUUUCAAUAAACAUCUCAAUAAACGUGUGUGUUUGGAUCCUUGGAUCCCAUGACUGCCGUCAUAACCUUGGUGAAGAAGAGGGCUGGGAGUAGGAAAGAGGUCAAGGUUCGCUUGAUCUCUAACCCUAUAGUGGGAAAUUGUGACGGAGAAUAUUCAAGAGUGGGUGUGGGUCUGUUUGAUUUCAGGUGUAGCUGUGUAAAUAGUUAGCCCUGCAUAUAUUUUUGUCUACUCACAACUGCCUGCAUGUGUAUUCAUAGAGUUGUGUGAUUCUGUGUAUGUGCCUGGGGAGUGGGAGAGGGCCAUGUGCACAUGUCUGAAUACUUGUUUUCAAAUAUACAUGCAUGUUUCCAUUUGGGUUUCUCUCCAUUUGUGUUGUUUGCCUGCCUCUUCUGUAAGUCUCUGAAAG